GGUUCGGUAGCUCAGCUGGUUAGAGCGCACGACUCAUAAUCGUGAGGUCGGGAGUUCAAGUCUCCCCCGAACCACCA
RNAcentral lists this transfer RNA (77 nucleotides) under Hyphomonas sp. RNAcentral describes it as "tRNA-Met". It matches the Rfam family "tRNA". From Rfam's summary of the family: Transfer RNA (tRNA) molecules are approximately 80 nucleotides in length. Their secondary structure includes four short double-helical elements and three loops (D, anti-codon, and T loops). Further hydrogen bonds mediate the characteristic L-shaped molecular structure. tRNAs have two regions of fundamental functional importance: the anti-codon, which is responsible for specific mRNA codon recognition, and the 3' end, to which the tRNAs corresponding amino acid is attached (by aminoacyl-tRNA synthetases). tRNAs cope with the degeneracy of the genetic code in two manners: having more than one tRNA (with a specific anti-codon) for a particular amino acid; and 'wobble' base-pairing, i.e. permitting non-standard base-pairing at the 3rd anti-codon position. The record is from RNAcentral. Lineage: Bacteria; Pseudomonadati; Pseudomonadota; Alphaproteobacteria; Hyphomonadales; Hyphomonadaceae. RNAcentral also lists the same sequence under 16 other names.